GGAGAGGUGGUAGAGCGGUCUAUUGCGUCGGUCUUGAAAACCGAAGAGGCGCAAGCCUCCGUGGGUUCGAAUCCCACCCUCUCCG
Molecule: transfer RNA, 85 nt
Filed under: Gloeobacter violaceus PCC 7421
Lineage: Bacteria; Bacillati; Cyanobacteriota; Cyanophyceae; Gloeobacterales; Gloeobacteraceae
Description: tRNA-Ser (TGA) (tRNA-Ser-TGA-1-1)
Rfam family: tRNA
About the family: Transfer RNA (tRNA) molecules are approximately 80 nucleotides in length. Their secondary structure includes four short double-helical elements and three loops (D, anti-codon, and T loops).
Source: Rfam by way of RNAcentral